This is a non-coding RNA of Lolium perenne, 868 nucleotides long. The record is from RefSeq and is a predicted model, not a curated record. Lineage: Eukaryota; Viridiplantae; Streptophyta; Magnoliopsida; Poales; Poaceae.
CACACCCGGAGGGGGUAGCAUUGGAUAUAGAACCAUCUCAAAUCACUUUUGUGCAUGCCAUGUGGACACACACAACUUUUGGGGCCAUUCCCUAGGUCCGAUGCUCGAUUUCUGACGAAACCCUAGUUCUGUUGACCGCGCCGUCUACCCCUUUGACUGCGUCCCAUCGGGGUUCCCCCGGUGGGCGUAUGCCUGCGUUUGAGCUUGGUUAGGUCAUAGGUACAUGUGGAAACAAGUACCAUCCCCUAUGAUCCCAAGGUUCUCUCCGGUUCACCUCCGAGGGAGUUCCCCCCUAUACACGCAGAAUCUGCCUAAGUGUAGGAACCCCAUGUCCGAGAAGCCGGGCACACCCGGAGGGGGUAGCAUUGGAUAUAGAACCAUCUCAAAUCACUUUUGUGCAUGCCAUGUGGACACACACAACUUUUGGGGCCAUUCCCUAGGUCCGAUGCUCGAUUUCUGACGAAACCCUAGUUCUGUUGACCGCGCCGUCUACCCCUUUGACUGCGUCCCAUCGGGGUUCCCCCGGUGGGCGUAUGCCUGCGUUUGAGCUUGGUUAGGUCAUAGGUACAUGUGGAAACAAGUACCAUCCCCUAUGAUCCCAAGGUUCUCUCCGGUUCACCUCCGAGGGAGUUCCCCCCUAUACACGCAGAAUCUGCCUAAGUGUAGGAACCCCAUGUCCGAGAAGCCGGGCACACCCGGAGGGGGUAGCAUUGGAUAUAGAACCAUCUCAAAUCACUUUUGUGCAUGCCAUGUGGACACACACAACUUUUGGGGCCAUUCCCUAGGUCCGAUGCUCGAUUUCUGACGAAACCCUAGUUCUGUUGACCGCGCCGUCUACCCCUUUGACUGCGUCCCAUCGGGGUUCCCC